Non-coding RNA from Camelus ferus (Wild Bactrian camel), 294 nucleotides. The record is from Rfam. NCBI's taxonomy places the organism in Eukaryota, Metazoa, Chordata, Mammalia, Artiodactyla, Camelidae.
GGAUGUGAGAGGACACCUGUUACCCCACUGAUCGCCAAGACUGACUUGUCUGCUCCGCCUGGCUAGGCGGGUGUCCCUCACCACUCCGCGGAGCCCCUCCCCUGUCGGCCCGCAUGGUCCAAGAAGGCGUCCCUCAUGAAGGAGGACCUGUUCUUCCAUCAGGGGUUUAGGGGUGACCAUGCUCCCCUGCUCGAACCUCCAAGCAAGCCCUCAGAGCCCAUUUGUAGGAGAACAGAGCAUAGUCAGUGUUUUUUUAAAAAACACAUUUUAAAAUUUUUCAAAAAAGAACUUUUA